CAGGCUUAACACAUGCAAGUCGAGGGGCAUCAGGAAGAAAGCUUGCUUUCUUUGCUGGCGACCGGCGCACGGGUGAGUAACACGUAUCCAACCUGCCCUUUACUCGGGGAUAGCCUUUCGAAAGAAAGAUUAAUACCCGAUGGCAUAAUGAUUCCGCAUGGUUUCAUUAUUAAAGGAUUCCGGUAAAGGAUGGGGAUGCGUUCCAUUAGGUUGUUGGUGAGGUAACGGCUCACCAAGCCUUCGAUGGAUAGGGGUUCUGAGAGGAAGGUCCCCCACAUUGGAACUGAGACACGGUCCAAACUCCUACGGGAGGCAGCAGUGAGGAAUAUUGGUCAAUGGGCGCUAGCCUGAACCAGCCAAGUAGCGUGAAGGAUGAAGGCUCUAUGGGUCGUAAACUUCUUUUAUAUAAGAAUAAAGUGCAGUAUGUAUACUGUUUUGUAUGUAUUAUAUGAAUAAGGAUCGGCUAACUCCGUGCCAGCAGCCGCGGUAAUACGGAGGAUCCGAGCGUUAUCCGGAUUUAUUGGGUUUAAAGGGAGCGUAGGUGGACUGGUAAGUCAGUUGUGAAAGUUUGCGGCUCAACCGUAAAAUUGCAGUUGAUACUGUCAGUCUUGAGUACAGUAGAGGUGGGCGGAAUUCGUGGUGUAGCGGUGAAAUGCUUAGAUAUCACGAAGAACUCCGAUUGCGAAGGCAGCUCACUGGACUGCAACUGACACUGAUGCUCGAAAGUGUGGGUAUCAAACAGGAUUAGAUACCCUGGUAGUCCACACAGUAAACGAUGAAUACUCGCUGUUUGCGAUAUACAGUAAGCGGCCAAGCGAAAGCAUUAAGUAUUCCACCUGGGGAGUACGCCGGCAACGGUGAAACUCAAAGGAAUUGACGGGGGCCCGCACAAGCGGAGGAACAUGUGGUUUAAUUCGAUGAUACGCGAGGAACCUUACCCGGGCUUAAAUUGCAGUGGAAUGAUGUGGAAACAUGUCAGUGAGCAAUCACCGCUGUGAAGGUGCUGCAUGGUUGUCGUCAGCUCGUGCCGUGAGGUGUCGGCUUAAGUGCCAUAACGAGCGCAACCCUUAUCUUUAGUUACUAACAGGUUAUGCUGAGGACUCUAGAGAGACUGCCGUCGUAAGAUGUGAGGAAGGUGGGGAUGACGUCAAAUCAGCACGGCCCUUACGUCCGGGGCUACACACGUGUUACAAUGGGGGGUACAGAAGGCAGCUAGCGGGUGACCGUAUGCUAAUCCCAAAAGCCUCUCUCAGUUCGGAUCGAAGUCUGCAACCCGACUUCGUGAAGCUGGAUUCGCUAGUAAUCGCGCAUCAGCCACGGCGCGGUGAAUACGUUCCCGGGCCUUGUACACACCGCCCGUCAAGCCAUGGGAGCCGGGGGUACCUGAAGUACGUAACCGCAAGGAUCGUCCUAGGGUAAAACUGGUGACUGGGGCUAAGUC
This 1441-nucleotide ribosomal RNA is filed under the name uncultured organism. RNAcentral describes it as "16S ribosomal RNA". It matches the Rfam family "Bacterial small subunit ribosomal RNA". The record is from RNAcentral.